RNAcentral lists this ribosomal RNA (282 nucleotides) under uncultured bacterium. RNAcentral's name for it is "partial 16S ribosomal RNA". It matches the Rfam family "Bacterial small subunit ribosomal RNA", at positions 333 to 630 of the family's 1533-position model. The record is from RNAcentral.
CGAUGCCUACGGGGCGCAGCAGUGGGGAAUAUUGGGCAAUGGACGCAAGUCUGAACCAGCAACGUCGCGUGAAGGAAGAAGGCUUUCGGGUUGUAAACUUCUUUUAAGGGGGAAGAGCAGAAGACGGUACCCCUUGAAUAAGCCACGGCUAACUACGUGCCAGCAGCCGCGGUAAUACGUAGGUGGCAAGCGUUGUCCGGAUUUACUGGGUGUAAAGGGCGUGCAGCCGGAGAGACAAGUCAGAUGUGAAGUCCACGGGCUCAACCCGUGAACUGCAUUUGA